GAUGAACGCUGGCGGCGUGCCUAAUACAUGCAAGUAGAACGCUGAAGCUUGGUGCUUGCACCGAGCGGAUGAGUUGCGAACGGGUGAGUAACGCGUAGGUAACCUGCCUCUUAGCGGGGGAUAACUAUUGGAAACGAUAGCUAAUACCGCAUAAAAGUCGAUAUCGCAUGAUAUUGAUUUGAAAGGUGCAAUUGCAUCACUAAGAGAUGGACCUGCGUUGUAUUAGCUAGUUGGUGAGGUAACGGCUCACCAAGGCGACGAUACAUAGCCGGCCUGAGAGGGUGAUCGGCCACACUGGGACUGAGACACGGCCCAGACUCCUACGGGAGGCAGCAGUAGGGAAUCUUCGGCAAUGGGGGCAACCCUGACCGAGCAACGCCGCGUGAGUGAAGAAGGUUUUCGGAUCGUAAAGCUCUGUUGUAAGAGAAGAACGAGUGUGAGAGUGGAAAGUUCACACUGUGACGGUAACUUACCAGAAAGGGACGGCUAACUACGUGCCAGCAGCCGCGGUAAUACGUAGGUCCCGAGCGUUAUCCGGAUUUAUUGGGCGUAAAGCGAGCGCAGGCGGUUAGAUAAGUCUGAAGUUAAAGGCUGUGGCUUAACCAUAGUACGCUUUGGAAACUGUUUAACUUGAGUGCAGAAGGGGAGAGUGGAAUUCCAUGUGUAGCGGUGAAAUGCGUAGAUAUAUGGAGGAACACCGGUGGCGAAAGCGGCUCUCUGGUCUGUAACUGACGCUGAGGCUCGAAAGCGUGGGGAGCAAACAGG
This 765-nucleotide ribosomal RNA is filed under the name uncultured Streptococcus sp. RNAcentral describes it as "bacterial SSU rRNA". It matches the Rfam family "Bacterial small subunit ribosomal RNA", at positions 28 to 776 of the family's 1533-position model. Lineage: Bacteria; Bacillati; Bacillota; Bacilli; Lactobacillales; Streptococcaceae. The record is from RNAcentral.